RNAcentral lists this ribosomal RNA (254 nucleotides) under uncultured bacterium. RNAcentral describes it as "partial 16S ribosomal RNA". It matches the Rfam family "Bacterial small subunit ribosomal RNA", at positions 524 to 776 of the family's 1533-position model. The record is from RNAcentral.
UACAGAGGUGCCAAGCGUUAGGCGGAAUCACUGGGCUUAAAGCGCGUGUAGGCGGGUCGUUAAGUGUCCGAGUGAAAUCCCACGGCUCAACCGUGGAACUGCCGGGCAUACUGGCGAUCUUGAGGCAUUCAGGGGCGAGCGGAACAAAUGGUGGAGCGGUGAAAUGCGCAGAUAUCAGGAGGAACACCGGUGGCGAAGGCGGGACUCUGGGCCGAUACUGACGCUGAGGAGCGAAAGCGUGGGGAGCAAACAGG